GGCGGAUGUAGCCAAGUGGAUCAAGGCAGUGGAUUUGUGA
Molecule: transfer RNA, 40 nt
Filed under: Convallaria majalis
Lineage: Eukaryota; Viridiplantae; Streptophyta; Magnoliopsida; Asparagales; Asparagaceae
Also listed under: 83 other names
Description: partial tRNA-His
Source: RNAcentral